GUUCCAUAACUCUUCAUGAUCCUCAGAUUGAAGAAGCAGAAGUUGUGCAUACCAUAGAUUCCACAAGAAGCAUGAGUAGUGAUACUAACUUCGUACCUGGUGAAGAGAACUACAAUGAAUUAGUGAUCUCUUCUCAGAAUUCAACAGUUUCAUCUCAAAACUCAAAUUCACCAGUUAGUCAAACGGUUGACAGAAAAGAUUCAUCCUCAGAGACCAACUCACGGGAAUUGGAUCCUACUGAUGCAGCCCAAAUCAACAGCUUUAAUGUAGUUAAUUCUUUUCUUGAGCUCCUACAUAUGGCUCAGUCUGGAUCAAGCAUGCCGCACGAAGUUCCCAAAUUUUUGCAUCAAAGUCCGAACGAGACUGCCAAAACAUCAACCCUGGGUAUCCCGACUCAAAAAGAAUCUGUUGAACCGAAGGAACUUGCAGACGAACCACUGAAACAGUUUGUUGGUAACGUAAUGCAGCAACCGGAACAAGUUGCAAACCGUUCAGAAGUGAUGUUUGAUAUUGUGGAAAGUAGCAGGGAGAAGGAAAAUGUUUCAGAGAAAACGACGGCUUCAAAUAUGAUUAACCAUCCCAAUUCGAGAGUUAAGGGUGUCAAAGACAUCGAUGCUGCUCGGAGAAAGGCGAAAAGUAGAAGGGUUGGCGAUGAAAUCAAAGAUGCUGACUGGGAGGCACUGAGAAGAAGUGCCAAACAAAGUGGGCAAAAAAAUAAGAGGGCAGAGAACGCAAAGGAUUCGGUGGAUUGGGAAGCUGUAAGAUGUGCAGGUGUGAAUGAGAUUGCUGAGACAAUAAAAGCACGUGGGAUGAACAACAUGCUUGCAGCACGCAUUAAGGUACGCAACAAAUUUAUACAGCCAAUUGGAUGAUAGUCUUAAUUCCUUGCAUGUACAUGAUCAUGUUUUUCAUUAACUGCAGGAGUUUCUUGAUAAAGUGCUAACCUAUCACGGAAGUGUUGAUCUGGAAUGGUUAAGAGAUGUUCCUCCCGAUAGAGCAAAGUACGUAUAUAUAGAAAGUUUAAAGCAUGUCACUUCAAUACAUGAACAUGUUCCUGCACCCUUAAAUUAUUCUGUUACCGCCCCUGUUUAUGUUUACGGGUUAGUUCGACAUUUCUAAAUAAAUCAAUCUAUUUGGACUGCUACAAAGGGUAUGCAAACCUCACUAAGUUCCUAUUGAAUACAUGUAAGAACUACUUUUAGAUAUGUAAGAAUUACUUUUUUGUAGAGAGUACCUGCUAAGCUUUAACGGGCUGGGGUUGAAAAGUGUGGAGUGCGUACGGCUUUUGACGCUUCAUCACCUUGCAUUUCCGGUAAGUUUCAAUAAAGUAAAAGUUUAAAACUAAUAAAGUUAUGUUAUUCAAAACAACCAUGAUUUCUGUACCAAAUAACAGGUUGAUACCAAUGUUGGACGCAUAGCUGUGCGACUUGGAUGGGUCCCACUGCAACCAUUACCUGAAUCGCUACAAUUGCAUCUACUAGAAAUGCAAGUACUAUUAGCAGCCGGAAUUUUUUGAGAAUGAGAACAAAUACAUGGUUGUGACUUACGAUGUUCUCACUGCAGGUACCCUAUACUGGACACAAUUCAAAAGUAUCUGUGGCCUCGAUUGUGCAAACUUGAUCAGAAAACAC
Molecule: long non-coding RNA, 1631 nt
Filed under: Linum usitatissimum (flax)
Lineage: Eukaryota; Viridiplantae; Streptophyta; Magnoliopsida; Malpighiales; Linaceae
Description: long non-coding RNA (LUSI_LNC003598)
Source: RNAcentral